AACAAACAAAAGAUUACUCAGAACAAGGGAAAACUGAGGGUUAAUGGGAGAGGAAAAGGUUGAUAAACCCGAGGAAUUGAUAUUGAGGCCCUGACCAUUUCCAAUAAUUAUUUGAAUAGGUUCUUCAAAAGGUGCUACUUGCUGAAUGUUUUGUGACAUAUUGGUCACAUGGUGAGAAGCACCAGAAUCAGGAUACCAACUUUGAGAAGGUGUUGCAGCAGAACUAGUCAAAAAAAUUUGAAGAGAGUUGGUUGGUUGUUUUGGAGCUUGAAUAACAUAUGGUGGAGGUUGAAAGUAAGCAUACUGAACAAGUUGUGCAUAUUGAAUCUGCUGUGAAGGAAGAGCAGAAGAAGUCCAUUGAAUAAUGGAAGGGGGUAGAGGAAGAGUUGGCACAUAGUUCUCAUCAAGACGAUGAUAAC
RNAcentral lists this long non-coding RNA (419 nucleotides) under Glycine max (soybean). Its description in RNAcentral is "long non-coding RNA (GMAX_LNC004132)". Lineage: Eukaryota; Viridiplantae; Streptophyta; Magnoliopsida; Fabales; Fabaceae. The record is from RNAcentral.